RNAcentral lists this ribosomal RNA (496 nucleotides) under uncultured bacterium. Its description in RNAcentral is "partial 16S ribosomal RNA". It matches the Rfam family "Bacterial small subunit ribosomal RNA", at positions 28 to 506 of the family's 1533-position model. The record is from RNAcentral.
GAUGAACGCUGGCGGCGUGCCUAAUACAUGCAAGUCGAGCGAACGGACGAGAAGCUUGCUUCUCUGAUGUUAGCGGCGGACGGGUGAGUAACACGUGGAUAACCUACCUAUAAGACUGGGAUAACUUCGGGAAACCGGAGCUAAUACCGGAUAAUAUUUUGAACCGCAUGGUUCAAAAGUGAAAGACGGUCUUGCUGUCACUUAUAGAUGGAUCCGCGCUGCAUUAGCUAGUUGGUAAGGUAACGGCUUACCAAGGCAACGAUGCAUAGCCGACCUGAGAGGGGGUUGGGCCCAACGGAAACUGAGACACGGCCCAGACCCCCACGGGGGGCCGGAGGGGGGAAUCUUCCGAAAUGGGCGAAAGCCUGACGGAGCAACCCCGCGGGAGUGAUGAAGGUUUUCGGAUCGUAAAACUCUUUUUUUAGGGAAAAAAAUAUGUUUAAGUAACUGUGCCCAUCUUGCCGGUACCUAAGAAAAAAGCCCCGGCUAACUACGG